AACGAACGCUGGCGGCAUGCCUAACACAUGCAAGUCGAACGAGACCUUCGGGUCUAGUGGCGCACGGGUGCGUAACGCGUGGGAACCUUCCCUUAGGUUCGGAAUAACUCCCCGAAAGGGGUGCUAAUACCGGAUAAUGUCUUCGGCCCAAAGAUUUAUCGCCUUUGGAUGGGCCCGCGUUGGAUUAGCUAGUUGGUAGGGUAAAAGCCUACCAAGGCGACGAUCCAUAGCUGGUCUGAGAGGAUGAUCAGCCACACUGGGACUGAGACACGGCCCAGACUCCUACGGGAGGAAGCAGUGGGGAAUAGUGGACAAUGGGCGAAAGACUGAUCCAGCAAUGACGCGUGAGUGAUGAAGGCCUUAGGGUUGUAAAGCUCUUUUACCCGGGAUGAUAAUGACAGUACCGGGAGAAUAAGCUCCGGCUAACUCCGUG
This 433-nucleotide ribosomal RNA is filed under the name uncultured bacterium. RNAcentral's name for it is "partial 16S ribosomal RNA". It matches the Rfam family "Bacterial small subunit ribosomal RNA", at positions 29 to 507 of the family's 1533-position model. The record is from RNAcentral.